Molecule: ribosomal RNA, 254 nt
Filed under: uncultured bacterium
Lineage: Bacteria
Description: partial 16S ribosomal RNA
Rfam family: Bacterial small subunit ribosomal RNA
Source: RNAcentral
UACGUAGGGGGCGAGCGUUGUCCGGAUUUAUUGGGCGUAAAGAGCUCGUAGGCGGUUCGAUAAGUCGGACGUGAAAUCUCCACGCUCAACGUGGAGGGGCCGUUCGAUACUGUCGUGACUCGAGUCCGGUAGGGGAGUGUGGAAUUCCCGGUGUAGCGGUGAAAUGCGUAGAUAUCAGGAGGAACACCGGUGGCGAAGGCGCUCAUCUGGCCCAAUACUGACGCUGAGGCGCGAAAGCUAGGGGAGCAAACGGG